Molecule: transfer RNA, 72 nt
Filed under: Bacteroidales bacterium
Lineage: Bacteria; Pseudomonadati; Bacteroidota; Bacteroidia; Bacteroidales
Description: tRNA-Arg
Rfam family: tRNA
About the family: Transfer RNA (tRNA) molecules are approximately 80 nucleotides in length. Their secondary structure includes four short double-helical elements and three loops (D, anti-codon, and T loops). Further hydrogen bonds mediate the characteristic L-shaped molecular structure. tRNAs have two regions of fundamental functional importance: the anti-codon, which is responsible for specific mRNA codon recognition, and the 3' end, to which the tRNAs corresponding amino acid is attached (by aminoacyl-tRNA synthetases). tRNAs cope with the degeneracy of the genetic code in two manners: having more than one tRNA (with a specific anti-codon) for a particular amino acid; and 'wobble' base-pairing, i.e. permitting non-standard base-pairing at the 3rd anti-codon position.
Source: RNAcentral
GGUCCCUUAGUUCAAUGGAUAGAAUAUAAGAUUCCGGUUCUUAAGAUAGGGGUUCGAGUCCUCUAGGGAUCA